AUAUUUUAACACUGAGGAAAUGGAGACAUUGAGACACGUCCUGUAUGCACUUUGGUUUCACCAGAUUUACAACAAAAGGAUUAGACAUUAUCAACAUGAUCAAGUUCUUCAUUUUACUUUGGAUGUGGCAUUACAGCUUGACUUACUUGGCAUGGACAAAUAAUUUCCACUAUUGUUUUUUAAACUUUACAUUUAUUCAACUGUACCCCAGUCGUACCUACAUAUUAUACAGAGCAUGAACAUUGCCAGUAUUCUUAUCAUAGUAUCACCAACUUAUCAGUGGUUUAAAGCACAUUCAGCAACUGGUUCUCACAUUUAUCAAGUUCAGAAUGAUCCCAUGUUUUCAAACAGGAUUACAUUUACAGACAUGGCAGAUAUUCAUUUUUUUUUUUUAAAUGAGACUCAAUGCAUUUCAACAUGUACAUAAGUGUAUAUCUGUGUGGACAUAUUAUGUCUCCAACAUAUCAAUCAGAUCAUGUAGCACAAUUAGCUUAUUGACUACAAGGCAGUAUUACAGCCUCAUCAGUGCCCGUGCAAACAUUCCAGAAGUAUGUUACUGAUUGUGAACCAAAAUUGUAAACCUACUCCAUAAAUCGUGAUGUACCAUAAAGGACAAACUACAGCCUCAUCAGUGCCCAAGCAGUCCAGAAGUAUGUUAAAGCGAACAUGAUUGCAAACCUACUCCACAACUCGGGAUGUAGCUAAUUCCAGCAACUU
RNAcentral lists this long non-coding RNA (717 nucleotides) under Mytilus galloprovincialis (Mediterranean mussel). Lineage: Eukaryota; Metazoa; Mollusca; Bivalvia; Mytilida; Mytilidae. The record is from RNAcentral.